This is a long non-coding RNA of Bactrocera neohumeralis, 800 nucleotides long. RefSeq lists it as uncharacterized. The record is from RefSeq and is a predicted model, not a curated record. The transcript is spliced from 2 exons. Lineage: Eukaryota; Metazoa; Arthropoda; Insecta; Diptera; Tephritidae.
GCAUUGCGCAGAAAAGGCAUCACACUUCGGUGUGAUGCCAGUGCUCGCAGUGACCCUGCCGUAGAAGGGUAGUGCAUACCGUAGAGGGUUAGAGGGUUCUUCGCAGGCAUUGCGCAGAAAAGGCAUCACACUUCGGUGUGAUGCCAGUGCUCGCAAUGACUGCCGUAUACCAUAGAAUGAGGUACUUCGCAAGCAUUGCGCAGAAAAGGCAUCACGCUUUGGCGAUGCCAGUGCUCGCAAUGACUCUGCCGUUUUGUUAGGCAGGUAUCGGUACGCGAAAAGGCUCGACCGUUACUUUGAGGGGCACAGCUGCGCUGCUUCGAACAGCGUCAGUACCACUGCUUACGUACCGUAGGGCACCGUUACUAAAAACUAACGUGACCAACAGGCGACACGUAACUGGCGGACAGUUAAGAGUUGAUAGCUGGAGGUCAACGAAGACGGUUGGCGAAUAAUAAGAUCUCUCCUACACAGAGGAGCCCGUUUUCAUCACCGCCGUGCCGACUUCAUCAAACGUCAACGCCGGGCACGCUUAGUUUCACCCGUUUUCAUCACCGCCGUGCCGACUUCAUCAAACGUCAACGCCGGGCACGCUUAUUUCACCCGUUUUCAUCACCGCCGUGCCGACUUCAUCACCACCGUGCCGACUUCAUCAAACGUCAACGCCGGGCACGCUUAGUUUCACCCGUUUUCAUCACCGCCGUGCCGACUUCAUCAAGCGUCAACGCCGGGCACGCUUAGUUUCACCCGUUUUCAUCACCGCCGUGCCGCCUUCAUCAAACGUCAACGCCGGGCACGCU